UUCAUCAUUGGAAAUGGCUUUUGUGCAAAAAAGAAUCUUCAGGGAGCUUGGAGUUUCUGGUUGGCAUGUGUUCGAAUAUCUGUUUUUGCUAUCAUUGCUUAUCUGUGCAUUGCUCUGUGUGUGGACAUUUCUACCUGUGUGUGCUUUCUACGUGAAUAGUUGUGGUGUAAUGUGUGCAACGAGCUUCUUUAAUGCUGCUUCCUAUGCUGCUGGAUGUGCGCAUAUGCUACUUGUAAUAAAUGAUAGGUUACUUUGUUUUCUGAUGUUUAUUUCGUUGCUGUUUCAGGCAAUCACUUCAAGUG
RNAcentral lists this unclassified non-coding RNA (302 nucleotides) under Hevea brasiliensis (rubber tree). The record is from RNAcentral. Lineage: Eukaryota; Viridiplantae; Streptophyta; Magnoliopsida; Malpighiales; Euphorbiaceae.